UCCUUAAACCUCUGUCGACGUCGAAACAUUCUUUGGGACAAGUAAGGAUAGCAGACUCACCAGUUCAGUGACGUAACGAAACUGCCGGAACAAAACCACCAAAAUGUCGAAAAAACCGAAACGAAAACAAUUACGGAAAAAUUGGCGUCAGUGUAAGAUGUAUUUUAAGCUAACGAGUUUUGCUAUUUAACACCAAUAAAUACGAAUUAUUCUUGCCGGGAAACAUAUUUAGCAGCAACUAUGCCAAGGGCACAGACUAACUAUACAGAGGUCUCACUUCGCGAGUUUUUACGGUAGUUUUUACUGCGCAUAUCUGGCGGCCAUGUUUAGCAAACUUCAUUUCUUUGCAUCAGUUUCUUGGGUUUUUUUGCUGUUAUAUUUCAAUAAUUUACGACCUUUUAGUGGUUUUGGUCGUUCAGUUCGUUUUGGUCGUUUCGUUACUUUGCUACAAGGCUUGACUUGGACUAGGCUAAUGAUCGCAGAGUGUGGCAAGAUUUUCUGGCCUAGGCAGGGUCAAAGUUUGUUUACACUACAAAAUUGUGGGUCAAAACACAGUCAAUAGCUGUGGUCAAAACAAGGCCAAGGUUUAGCUUUAGUGAAAUAUUGAGAGUUCGAAUUCGGUUAUCGUCAUAAUUGGCCCCUUUGUUGCAGCAAAUGCCAAUUUUCAUUGACUCAAAUUUUCGCAAUGAUUUUGGCUCAAAUUGCAUCCAAAUUUUCCUAAGUACAGUAGCUUAUCAUCAGGCUUUUAGCCAGGGCCC
Non-coding RNA from Paramuricea clavata, 758 nucleotides. Lineage: Eukaryota; Metazoa; Cnidaria; Anthozoa; Malacalcyonacea; Plexauridae. The record is from the annotation of a GenBank genome assembly.